Molecule: ribosomal RNA, 3006 nt
Filed under: Salmonella enterica subsp. enterica serovar Weltevreden
Lineage: Bacteria; Pseudomonadati; Pseudomonadota; Gammaproteobacteria; Enterobacterales; Enterobacteriaceae
Description: bacterial LSU rRNA
Rfam family: Bacterial large subunit ribosomal RNA
Source: RNAcentral
UUAAGCGACUAAGCGUACACGGUGGAUGCCCUGGCAGUCAGAGGCGAUGAAGGGCGUGCUAAUCUGCGAUAAGCGCCGGUAAGGUGAUAUGAACCGUUAUAACCGGCGAUACCCGAAUGGGGAAACCCAGUGUGACUCGUCACACUAUCAUUAACUGAAUCCAUAGGUUAAUGAGGCGAACCGGGGGAACUGAAACAUCUAAGUACCCCGAGGAAAAGAAAUCAACCGAGAUUCCCCCAGUAGCGGCGAGCGAACGGGGAGGAGCCCAGAGCCUGAAUCAGCAUGUGUGUUAGUGGAAGCGUCUGGAAAGGCGCGCGAUACAGGGUGACAGCCCCGUACACAAAAGCGCAUGUGCUGUGAGCUCGAUGAGUAGGGCGGGACACGUGGUAUCCUGUCUGAAUAUGGGGGGACCAUCCUCCAAGGCUAAAUACUCCUGACUGACCGAUAGUGAACCAGUACCGUGAGGGAAAGGCGAAAAGAACCCCGGCGAGGGGAGUGAAAAAGAACCUGAAACCGUGUACGUACAAGCAGUGGGAGCCCCACCACCAAAGCAUUCUCUGGUGUUGAAGGCCCUGCAAAGCAGCAUCGCGGUGGCGGAGCGUCGUUUGCGACGCCCAACACACAAAACAAGCGGUGAGUGCUUUGGGGUGGGGUGACUGCGUACCUUUUGUAUAAUGGGUCAGCGACUUAUAUUCUGUAGCAAGGUUAACCGUAUAGGGGAGCCGGAGGGAAACCGAGUCUUAACCGGGCGUUAAGUUGCAGGGUAUAGACCCGAAACCCGGUGAUCUAGCCAUGGGCAGGUUGAAGGUUGGGUAACACUAACUGGAGGACCGAACCGACUAAUGUUGAAAAAUUAGCGGAUGACCUGUGGCUGGGGGUGAAAGGCCAAUCAAACCGGGAGAUAGCUGGUUCUCCCCGAAAGCUAUUUAGGUAGCGCCUCGUGAAUUCAUCUCCGGGGGUAGAGCACUGUUUCGGCUAGGGGGCCAUCCCGGCUUACCAACCCGAUGCAAACUGCGAAUACCGGAGAAUGUUAUCACGGGAGACACACGGCGGGUGCUAACGUCCGUCGUGAAGAGGGAAACAACCCAGACCGCCAGCUAAGGUCCCAAAGUCAUGGUUAAGUGGGAAACGAUGUGGGAAGGCCCAGACAGCCAGGAUGUUGGCUUAGAAGCAGCCAUCAUUUAAAGAAAGCGUAAUAGCUCACUGGUCGAGUCGGCCUGCGCGGAAGAUGUAACGGGGCUAAACCAUGCACCGAAGCUGCGGCAGCGACGCUUAUGCGUUGUUGGGUAGGGGAGCGUUCUGUAAGCCUGUGAAGGUGGCCUGUGAGGGUUGCUGGAGGUAUCAGAAGUGCGAAUGCUGACAUAAGUAACGAUAAAGCGGGUGAAAAGCCCGCUCGCCGGAAGACCAAGGGUUCCUGUCCAACGUUAAUCGGGGCAGGGUGAGUCGACCCCUAAGGCGAGGCCGAAAGGCGUAGUCGAUGGGAAACGGGUUAAUAUUCCCGUACUUGGUGUUACUGCGAAGGGGGGACGGAGAAGGCUAUGUUGGCCGGGCGACGGUUGUCCCGGUUUAAGCGUGUAGGUGUGUGUUCCAGGUAAAUCCGGUUCACUUUAACACUGAGGCGUGAUGACGAGGCACUACGGUGCUGAAGCAACAAAUGCCCUGCUUCCAGGAAAAGCCUCUAAGCAUCAGGUAACAUCAAAUCGUACCCCAAACCGACACAGGUGGUCAGGUAGAGAAUACCAAGGCGCUUGAGAGAACUCGGGUGAAGGAACUAGGCAAAAUGGUGCCGUAACUUCGGGAGAAGGCACGCUGACAUGUAGGUGAAGUGAUUUACUCAUGGAGCUGAAGUCAGUCGAAGAUACCAGCUGGCUGCAACUGUUUAUUAAAAACACAGCACUGUGCAAACACGAAAGUGGACGUAUACGGUGUGACGCCUGCCCGGUGCCGGAAGGUUAAUUGAUGGGGUCAGCGCAAGCGAAGCUCCUGAUCGAAGCCCCGGUAAACGGCGGCCGUAACUAUAACGGUCCUAAGGUAGCGAAAUUCCUUGUCGGGUAAGUUCCGACCUGCACGAAUGGCGUAAUGAUGGCCAGGCUGUCUCCACCCGAGACUCAGUGAAAUUGAACUCGCUGUGAAGAUGCAGUGUACCCGCGGCAAGACGGAAAGACCCCGUGAACCUUUACUAUAGCUUGACACUGAACAUUGAGCCUUGAUGUGUAGGAUAGGUGGGAGGCUUUGAAGUGUGGACGCCAGUCUGCAUGGAGCCGACCUUGAAAUACCACCCUUUAAUGUUUGAUGUUCUAACGUGGACCCGUGAUCCGGGUUGCGGACAGUGUCUGGUGGGUAGUUUGACUGGGGCGGUCUCCUCCUAAAGAGUAACGGAGGAGCACGAAGGUUGGCUAAUCCUGGUCGGACAUCAGGAGGUUAGUGCAAUGGCAUAAGCCAGCUUGACUGCGAGCGUGACGGCGCGAGCAGGUGCGAAAGCAGGUCAUAGUGAUCCGGUGGUUCUGAAUGGAAGGGCCAUCGCUCAACGGAUAAAAGGUACUCCGGGGAUAACAGGCUGAUACCGCCCAAGAGUUCAUAUCGACGGCGGUGUUUGGCACCUCGAUGUCGGCUCAUCACAUCCUGGGGCUGAAGUAGGUCCCAAGGGUAUGGCUGUUCGCCAUUUAAAGUGGUACGCGAGCUGGGUUUAGAACGUCGUGAGACAGUUCGGUCCCUAUCUGCCGUGGGCGCUGGAGAACUGAGGGGGGCUGCUCCUAGUACGAGAGGACCGGAGUGGACGCAUCACUGGUGUUCGGGUUGUCAUGCCAAUGGCACUGCCCGGUAGCUAAAUGCGGAAGAGAUAAGUGCUGAAAGCAUCUAAGCACGAAACUUGCCCCGAGAUGAGUUCUCCCUGAGACUUUAGGUCUCCUGAAGGAACGUUGAAGACGACGACGUUGAUAGGCCGGGUGUGUAAGCGCAGCGAUGCGUUGAGCUAACCGGUACUAAUGAACCGUGAGGCUUAACCUU